RNAcentral lists this ribosomal RNA (464 nucleotides) under uncultured bacterium. RNAcentral describes it as "partial 16S ribosomal RNA". It matches the Rfam family "Bacterial small subunit ribosomal RNA", at positions 28 to 506 of the family's 1533-position model. The record is from RNAcentral.
GACGAACGCUGGCGGCGUGCUUAACACAUGCAAGUCGAACGGAAAGGCCCUGCUUGCAGGGUACUCGAGUGGCGAACGGGUGAGUAACACGUGGGUGAUCUGCCCUGCACUUCGGGAUAAGCCUGGGAAACUGGGUCUAAUACCGGAUAGGAGCCAUUUCUAGUGUGAUGGUUGGAAAGUUUUUUCGGUGUAGGAUGAGCGCGCGGCCUAUCAGCUUGUUGGUGGGGUAAUGGCCUACCAAGGCGGCGACGGGUAGCCGGCCUGAGAGGGUGGACGGCCACAUUGGGACUGAGAUACGGCCCAGACUCCUACGGGAGGCAGCAGUGGGGAAUAUUGCACAAUGGGCGCAAGCCUGAUGCAGCGACGCCGCGUGGGGGAUGACGGCCUUCGGGUUGUAAACUCCUUUCGCUAGGGACGAAGCUUUUUGUGACGGGACCUAGAUAAGAAGCACCGGCUAACUACGU